This 426-nucleotide ribosomal RNA is filed under the name uncultured bacterium. Its description in RNAcentral is "partial 16S ribosomal RNA". It matches the Rfam family "Bacterial small subunit ribosomal RNA", at positions 354 to 796 of the family's 1533-position model. The record is from RNAcentral.
GUGAGGAAUAUUCCGCAAUGGGGGAAACCCUGACGGAGCAAUGCCGCGUGCAGGAUGAAGGCCCUCGGGUCGUAAACUGCUUUUAUAUGAGAAGAAUAUGACGGUAACAUAUGAAUAAGGGACGGCUAACUACGUGCCAGCAGCCGCGGUCAUACGUAGGUCCCAAGCGUUAUCCGGAGUGACUGGGCGUAAAGAGUUGCGUAGGCGGCUCGUUAAGCGUGAAAUGAAAUUUAUCGGCUCAACCGGUAAACUAUUUCGCGAACUGACGGGCUCGAGAGGAUGAGAGGUUACUGGAAUUUCUAGUGUAGCAGUGAAAUGCGUAGAUAUUAGAAAGAACACCAGCGGCGUAGGCAGGUAACUGGCAUACAUCUGACGCUGAGGCACGAAAGCGUGGGGAGCGAACCGGAUUAGAUACCCCAGUAGUCC